AUUGAGGCACAAAUUGACCUCCAGGCUUUCUGGUGGCCAGAGUUAGAACAGAGUCAGGUUCACCCAUCAUCAGAAUAACACCAUCACGCUCAAGAGGAGCUUAAUUCUCUCGAGCAGACACGGCAUCCGGCGCAAGCUCAUCAAACAGCUCGGGGAGCACAAGCGGGUUUACCAGUGCAAUAUCUGCAGCAAGAUCUUCCAGAACAGCAGCAACCUGAGCAGGCACGUGCGCUCGCAUGGUGACAAGCUGUUUAAGUGCGAAGAGUGUGCAAAAUUGUUCAGCCGCAAAGAGAGCCUAAAGCAGCACGUUUCCUACAAGCACAGCAGGAACGAGGUGGACGGCGAGUACAGGUACCGCUGCGGCACUUGUGAGAAGACCUUCCGCAUCGAGAGCGCGCUGGAGUUCCACAACUGCAGGACAGAUGACAAGACGUU
This 435-nucleotide small RNA is filed under the name Pan troglodytes (chimpanzee). RNAcentral's name for it is "processed transcript". Lineage: Eukaryota; Metazoa; Chordata; Mammalia; Primates; Hominidae. The record is from RNAcentral.